AAAAGACUUAGUCCUAACCUUACCGUUAGUUUUUGCUAGACAUAUACAUGCAAGUAUCCGCACCCCAGUGAAAAUACCCAUAACAUCUCUACAUAGAUAACAGGAGUAGGUAUCAGGCACGCACACAUAGCAGCCCCAAACACCUUGCUCAGCCACACCCCCACGGGAUAUCAGCAGUAAUUAACAUUAAGCUAUAAGUGAAAACUUGACUUAGCCAUAGCAACUAUCAGGGUUGGUAAAUUCUGUGCCAGCCACCGCGGUCAUACAGGAAACCCAAACUAACUCAACACGGCGUAAAGAGUGGUCUUCUACUAUCAAACUAACUAAGACUGAAAUGUUACCAAGCUGUUAUAAGCUAAAGGCACACCUAAUCUCACCAAAAAAGAUCUUAGUUACACGACCAAUUAAACUCCACGAAAGCCAGGACACAAACUGGGAUUAGAUACCCCACUAUGCCUUGCCAUAAAUCCAGAUGUUCUACUACCAAAACAUCCGCCCGAGAACUACGAGCACAAACGCUUAAAACUCUAAGGACUUGGCGGUGCCCCAAACCCACCUAGAGGAGCCUGUUCUGUAAUCGAUAACCCACGAUACACCCAACCAUCCCUUGCCAAAACAGCCUAUAUACCGCCGUCCCCAGCCCACCCUAAAACUGAAGGACCAAAAGUGGGCACAAUAGCCUACAAACCACUAACAAGACAGGUCGAGGUAUAGCCUAUGGAAUGGAAGAAAUGGGCUACAUUUUCUAAAAUAGAACAAUUACCCUUAAACGGAAAGGAGUGUGAAACCACCCCUAAAAGGCGGAUUUAGCAGUAAAGUAGGAUCACAAAGCCUACUUUAAGUUGGCCCUGGAGCACGUACAUACCGCCCGUCACCCUCAUCACAAGCUGCCCACCAAUAUACCUCAAUACACCCUUAAGCCAAAGAUGAGGUAAGUCGUAACAAGGUAAGUGUACCGGAAGGUGCACUUAGUAUACC
RNAcentral lists this non-coding RNA (978 nucleotides) under Formicarius rufipectus. RNAcentral's name for it is "12S ribosomal RNA". It matches the Rfam family "Bacterial small subunit ribosomal RNA". Lineage: Eukaryota; Metazoa; Chordata; Aves; Passeriformes; Formicariidae. The record is from RNAcentral.